Molecule: long non-coding RNA, 5222 nt
Organism: Pseudopipra pipra
Lineage: Eukaryota; Metazoa; Chordata; Aves; Passeriformes; Pipridae
Exons: 3
Source: RefSeq, a predicted model, not a curated record
UUGAGGGCUUUUGGGGGAGGGGUGUGAGGGCUCGAGGGGUCUGGUGCUGUGAGGGCUCAGGGGGUCCAGCAUUUUGAGGGAGCCAUGAAGGUCCAUGGGGCUGUGAGGGCUCGGGGGGGCUGUGAAAGGUUGUGGGGCCAUGAUGGCUCUUGGGCCAGGCUGAGCCGUUCAGUGCCAGCUCCCCUGUGCUGUGAGGGGAGUGCCCCUGUGAGGGGGUCUGUGUGAGGUGGGUGCUGCUCACUGAGGCUUCCCCUUGGUGGCCCCUCUGUCCCGAGCUGCGUGUGGGUGCUGCAGCCCUGUCAUGAGGCAGCUGAACACUCCGGGCUGGAGAAACCACCCUUGCCUUUCCUCUGACCCUUAUUCCAUGGCCCAGCUUUGUGAGCACAUUCCUGCCCAGCCAGUGAGUCCAUUGGUCACAGUUUCUAUUAAGCACACUUUGAUUAUUGUUUCAGCAGAGCCUUUCUAUGGUUAUAUGUAUUCAUCGGGAUGCCAGCUGGGUCUACAAAUCCUAGCAUCUCUUCUUGUUUCACACUGUAGCAAAAACUUGAAAGAGGCUCCUAAAGCCAGGGAGUCUCACCCUCCUGCCUCGUUGGGCUGAGGCAAAGGCAGCAGUGACCUCAAUCCUGCCGACACACAGAGCACACCAGGCCAGCUCUGUGUCACUCGGGCGUUCAUGUGACACACAGAGAUGUUGUGCCUUGUACACAUAUCCUGGGAUCUGUGCCUGGAUAACAAUAAUCCAGUCCUGUGCCUGCAUCAGGCGAGGAGGUGGCUGGAGAAGAACAGCCCUGUGGAGGUUGAAUAGCCUCUGGUAGUUGGCUUAAUAUAAAGGUUAUGGUGAUCAAUAUUUCUGGCAUACAAACAUCAUAUUCCCACAGAGGUGCUGGAAGGAGUCCAGGAACUCCUGGAGCAGCCCCGGAGACCCUGAGAGGAGCCCCGGAGCAUCAGGAACCUGAGAGGACCCUGGGACAGACCUGUGUCAGCCUCAGAGGUGCCCAGGGAGACACACACAGCUCAUCCUUCACAUCUGAAACAGGAAUGCAGGAGGUUUAUGCAGUUUCCUUUGAGAUAGCUGAGUAAUGCAGAGCCAUUAGGGUCCAGAUUUAUCCACUAAUUACAGGCACUGAUUGAAUAGCAAACUCUGGGCUGUGUUCACACUGGAAUCAGUGAAAAGGGUUGGUUUGGCCCACCCCAGCUCAGCACCACUGACAACACAUUUCUGUUCUCUGUAAUGGUGUUUGAUGUGACCAAUUCCAAAAACUGCAGCAUCAUUUAAGUAUCAGAGGCAGCCAGGAUAAAUCUGGGCAGGACUUGCUCAAGAUUUCAUACAAGGCUGUACUAAUCAGUAAAGACAGCUUUUCCUCCAGGAUGUGAUGCCAUCUCUUCAGAGCAAUGCACAAAAGGAAUACAGUCUUCUUUCUGGUUAAAGGCAGGGAAUGUAGAAUGCCUUGCCCGUGUCAUGCUCUCCAGGAAAGUACAUUCAGCAUCAAUUCUCAUCAGGUGUGCUCAGCACAGCGUUCAUAAAUGUGUGCAUUCAGGAAGCCCUGGAAAACCCUCCCUAAAAUGGAGCAGGGGAGCCACUGCAGGGCUCGGAUGAUGUUUCCUGGUGCAGGUGCUGCUGGAUUUAAUGCAGAUACAGUUGGGUUUUUUUUCUGCCAGGGCCAGAAAGCAAAGGCCUGCACGUCAGUGCCAUCUAUUUCCUCACUUCCUUAGCAAUCCUGAGCCUUUGUGCUUCCCACAGCCUGUGCCUCAGCCAGUGCUGCCUUUCAUGUUUGGGAAGCUGCUCUGUAAUGUGUGGAGUGAGCAAUGUUUGUCACCCCAAGCAUUCCCAGAGGCAGUGUGAGAGUGGGAACGCUCUGCUCAGUUAAGCUCCAAUACCUGUCUCCAGAACACCAGCAGGAUCUCUCCUGCAGAGAGGGGUAGGACCCUGUGGGUGGUUACAUUUUGAGCUUCCAGAGGUUUCCCUGGGAGAUUCAGCCACCUGAAUAUCUGUGGGAUAGGAGACAUUUCCAAUUAUUUGUGCAACAUUUAUUUUUGCUAAUUCUAGCCCAGCCAGUGAGUACUUCUGUUCUUAGCUACGUGCACAUCCACAGGAAAUGACAAUUCUGUCUUAAAUAUUUUUGCAUUUUUAAAAAAAUGCCAGUACUUUUAAGCUCUCUGUGAGAAGGAACACAGGAGUCUGAGCCAGGAAUCUCCACAGAGAGCUGCUGGAGCUGCCGACCAUCUCAGCCCUGGGACUUCUAACGCUGGGGCACCACUAAUUAGUGCGUGCCAGAAGGUGAGCUGGCAAGUGCCACAGCAGGUCUGUGCCAGAACCUUGGCUCACAUGAAGCAUUCCUCCCAAGGCAAACCUCUGCAUGAACCUCUGAGCACUGGGCAUAUUCAAGGAGAAAAAGUUGCACAUUCCCUGGUCCUGCCUGAGCCAAAUGCUGGAGUGUGUUUGUGAUGGUCGCUGGUUUGGUGGAGAGGCUGCAGCUGGGUGGAGUGGGGAACGUUGGAAAGCAAAAGGGAGGGCAGAGAAGGGAAUAGCUCGACCAAGGUGGUUCCCACAUCGUGUUUUCACUGAAGACAUCUGUCUUAGCUGGUAUUUGAUUUCUUUGAAAGCUCUCCUCAAACCACUGCGAGCAACGAGCAAGGAGGUUUCACCUCAUUUGGGGGCUUCUACACUUCCCAGCUAAAUUAUGCUGCUGAGAGACCAAAGUUCCUUGAAGUGAGGGGCUGCUUCCAGAGACUGGUGAGUGAGGAGUGCAGUUGUGGGAUUCCUGCUUGAGAGAAAUCAGAAGGGCUGGAUGGGAUCAAUCCACAGGCCCACCCAGGCCAGUAUCUUGUCUCUCAUGAUCUGCAGCAGUUACCAAAGAACAGAGCAAACAGAUCUGGAUGUGGCAGGUGGUUCAGGCAAUUCUUUAGCCACAAGCAAGUAACUUUUUGGUUAAUAGCCCUAAUGGGUUAUUAUGAAUUUAUCUAAUCACCUUUUGCAGCCGUGUAAACUUUUGGCAUAAACAACCUCCUGUCCUGAUGAGGUUUAACCACAAGCUCUGUGGAAGAAGAGCUCCUUCCAUUUGGUUUGAUGGUUUCCACUGAGCUCCUCUGCUCAGAAGGCUCUGAGCCUGUCCCUUCAAAGCUUGCACUCCAGGAGUGUUUAAUAUUGUCAGUGAUACUGUGAGACAGAAGGUAAAGUUAAACCAGAUUUUGAGUGGUUUAAAGUUCAGCAUUGAUUUUGCAUUUGCACAUCCUUGUUCAAAACCAGUGAACUUUGAACGCUGUUCCCGUGAAGGUUCCACAGCUCUGCUGCUGUUCAUUGUCCACUGAUAAGCCCAAAAACUGUUGCCUUCUUUCACUUGGAAAAUCUGUUUCUCCUGAGAAUUUCCACCAAGAAGUGGUGACUAACUCGAUCAUGAGGUGCACAUAUGGUGACACCCCUGCUGUGAACAAAAAUAAGCUUUCCUUCACACAAAAGUUGAUUUUAUCAUUGCUCUGUCUCUCUCAAGCCUCCUCUUCAUUCCCAGGCCAGUCUUCUUCCUGGAGGAAUUGUUAUUUCUCCCCCUUGUUUCCAAAAGAGCCUUCAUCCCUACUCCAUGCAAGUGCCUGUCUCCCUGCAUAGGGGAAUUCUUCCAAUGCCACAGCUCCUUAAAUCACUGGUUAGAGCUGCUUUCACAUCCCACACAUAGAGAGAGCUUCCUACUGCAGUGUCUUUCCCCUGCAUCCACAUCAGGAGUCUCCUUGACACGUUCCCAGAAAUGCCUGCUUGCUAAAUGAUGUGAUUUGUGGUGGGAGCAGCUCCUGGCUCUGUUGGAGAUUUCCUAAGGCUGCCCUGGCAGCCUCCCUCUCCUGACUGAUCCCUGGCAUUGCACACAACUCCGGGAGCAGCAGUUUGUGUUCUGUGUUCAUCUGACAGCCUCUGACUGCAGGAAGGCUGUGAGCACCUCACAUGGAGGGCAUGGUGGAAACCUGGUCACUGCUGUACAAACACACUGAUUUCUGCACCUACAGAACAUCAAAGCACUGUGACUUGCCUGGGUUUGAUGGCUGUGUGAGAGGACUUUUAUGUGAAGAAAGCUGUGGCAAAAAUUGCAGGUUUGCUGAUCCCAGUGUUCCUUCGGGCUUGUUCCUCUUCAGUGUGUUCAGAAUUAGCUCCUCAAGUAGGAGUGACAGUCCAUGAGGUAGGAUAUAAACAUCAUAUGGCUUCCUAUUUCUCUGGAGAGAUACUCAGAUAUGUGAUCAUAAGCAUGGUAUAAGAACAACAUGAAAAUAUACUAAUUCCAGCCAUCCUAAAAGGCAUUCCUCUCAUCUGCUGCUGGAUUUACCCCUCUAAGUGGUUGGGGAUUUCAAGGGCUGGGUCUAUCCUGGAAGAAAGAAACAAUUCAGAUCCUGUGGGGAUGAACUUGGUACAGCAGAGUGGGACUGCAGGCAACCAGCUGUUAUUUCUCUCAGUUUUCAUGGGAAUUCAUUGGUACAACCCAGAUGGGAUGUGCUGGUUGAGAAUCCAUGGUGCUUUGGGAAUGGUAUAGAACAACAGGAGCAAAUGUAUUCCUACAAACAUGCCUAAAUGACAUUUAGGCCCCAAUAGCCAGGCCAGCCAACCUGUUGUGUGUCUGGAGCUAAAAGAGAGAAAGUGCUUUCUGGUGUCAAUUUUUGUAUCUAAUACCUUUGAUUUCCUUCUUACUGACAGUUGCUGAGAGCAGCAGAACUGCAGUUGUACAUGAGCAGAAAUUAUCUGCCAGAAGGUCUCUCCCAAGGUUCAGCCUGAGUGAGAAGCAAGGGACCUGUGUAUAAACAUAAAGAACUUAUGGACAGAUAGAAAAUCCUCAUUAUUUAUCAUUUCCACAAUUGAAUUCUAACCAAAGGCCUGCAAGCAUCUUUGUUUCAAAGCUUGCCUAGAUCCUUCCGACAUUCUUCAGAAGGUUUGAGCAAAGAACACAUCAAAAGGUGUAGGCACGUCUCCCACCAACUAAAUACCAGCAGCCAGGUUAUCUGAAGUCAUUUUCUUUCACUGUGCCUUCAGGUGUUCCCAUUGUACCCCCAAAAUACAGCAAAACACAGCAAAACAGCUCUGGAGUAAACAGGCCAAAUCAGCACCCCCAUCCCGCUCACUGAAACACUCUGUGUUCACAAUAACCCCCCUGCUUUGAUCCCUUGCCAAGAAUAACACAGACAGUCUAUUAAAACAUCUUUAAUAACAUGAUAUAAUUAAAAAUAUCUAACGUGCAACUCGAAGAAAUGAA